RNAcentral lists this ribosomal RNA (253 nucleotides) under uncultured bacterium. RNAcentral describes it as "partial 16S ribosomal RNA". It matches the Rfam family "Bacterial small subunit ribosomal RNA", at positions 524 to 776 of the family's 1533-position model. The record is from RNAcentral.
UACGGAGGGGGCGAGCGUUGCUCGGAAUUACUGGGCGUAAAGGGCGCGUAGGCGGCGCAAUUAGUCAGGCGUGAAAGCCCCGGGCUCAACCUGGGAACAGCGCUUGAUACUGUUGUGCUAGAGUACGGAAGAGGGUAGUGGAAUUCCCAGUGUAGAGGUGAAAUUCGUAGAUAUUGGGAAGAACACCAGUGGCGAAGGCGGCUACCUGGUCCGGUACUGACGCUGAGGCGCGAAAGCGUGGGGAGCAAACAGG